Molecule: transfer RNA, 77 nt
Filed under: Zingiber officinale
Lineage: Eukaryota; Viridiplantae; Streptophyta; Magnoliopsida; Zingiberales; Zingiberaceae
Description: tRNA-Ser
Rfam family: tRNA
About the family: Transfer RNA (tRNA) molecules are approximately 80 nucleotides in length. Their secondary structure includes four short double-helical elements and three loops (D, anti-codon, and T loops).
Source: RNAcentral
GGAGGGAUGGCUGAGUGGCUUAAGGCAUUGGUUUGCUAAAGAAAAUUGUAUCAUGGGUUCGAAUCCCAUUUCCUCCG